CACGUAGUUAGCCGGGGCUUCUUAGUCAGGUACCGUCAUUAUCUUCCCUGCUGAUAGAGCUUUACAUACCGAAAUACUUCUUCACUCAUGCGGCGUCGCUGCAUCAGGGUUUCCCCCAUUGUGCAAUAUUCCCCACUGCUGCCUCCCGUAGGAGUCUGGGCCGUGUCUCAGUCCCAAUGUGGCCGUUCACUCUCUCAAGCCGGCUACUGAUCGUCGCCUUGGUAGGCCGUUACCCUGCCAACUAGCUAAUCAGACGCGGGUCCAUCUCACAGCGAUAAAUCUUUGAAGGAACCUUCAUGCGGAGAUCCCUUGUUAUGCGGUAUUAGCAGCCGUUUCCGGCUGUUGUCCCCCUCUGUGAGGCAGGUUACCCACGCGUUACUCACCCGUCCGCCACUCAGUCAUUACCAUCUUCCCUCGAAAACGUUCCGUCGGUAGCGUCUUCGUCGACUUGCAUGUGUUAAGCACGCCGCCAGCGUUCAUCCUGAGCCCAGGAUCUAAA
This 499-nucleotide ribosomal RNA is filed under the name uncultured Lachnospiraceae bacterium. RNAcentral's name for it is "partial 16S ribosomal RNA". The record is from RNAcentral. Lineage: Bacteria; Bacillati; Bacillota; Clostridia; Lachnospirales; Lachnospiraceae.